Molecule: small RNA, 554 nt
Filed under: Pongo abelii (Sumatran orangutan)
Lineage: Eukaryota; Metazoa; Chordata; Mammalia; Primates; Hominidae
Description: retained intron
Source: RNAcentral
UGUGACUUGGAAAUUAUGGAAAUCAAGCAACUUCAACAGGAACUUCAGGAAUAUCAGAAUAAGCUUAUCUAUCUGGUACCUGAGAAGCAAUUAUUAAAUGAAAGAAUUAAAAACAUGCAGUUCAGUAACACACCUGGUAAGUCUCUAAGGUUUGUGUGAUUACUUUUAUCCUUUUCUGAAUGACUGUAUCAGUCACAUUUUUUUAAAAUUAAAAAAAGUAUUCUGUUAUAAAUAACACUUUUUGCCUGUAAGUUUAAAGUUUCAAAAUAACAUGAAAAAUAUCCCAGAUGUUAGAGCAUUUUUAGUGAUAAAAAGUAGAUAAAAAUAAAAUAGUAAUGACUGUGGUAUGACUUCAUAUUUUGAUAUUUUUAUGUAUAUAAUUGAAAUAUCAAAUAAAGUGUUAGACUAUAAGAUAUAAAUUUGGCCCUAACAUAAGACUACAUGUGCAUUUUGAAAAGUCCUGCACUGAUUUUAAAGAACUGUUCAGGAGGAGGCUUUACAGUGGGGCCGCACCUGGGAUUCUAGGGUGUUAGCGUGCAGCAGUCAUAGGCUUA